This 252-nucleotide ribosomal RNA is filed under the name Streptococcus agalactiae. Lineage: Bacteria; Bacillati; Bacillota; Bacilli; Lactobacillales; Streptococcaceae. The record is from RNAcentral.
AGAGAUAUUGACAACGUUACGGUUUCUUGUUAAACUAUAAAUAUUCAAUUUUGAGUGAAUAAAACUCAAUAGUUAAGUGAUAAUUGCCUAGGAAAUACACCUGUUCUCAUGCCGAACACAGAAGUUAAGCCCUAGAACGCCGGAAGUAGUUGGGGGUUGCCCCCUGUGAAAUAAGGUAGUCGCUUAGCAAAGGGAGUUUAGCUCAGCUGGGAAAGCAUCUGCCUUACAAGCAAAGGGUCAGCGGUUCGAUCC